UAAACUAGGAUUAGAUACCCUAUUAUUGUAAAUGUAAAUUAAUAUACUAAAUUAGUAUUAGUUAUUUUCUUGAAAAUUAAAAAAUUUGGCGGUAUUUUAGUCUUUUCAGAGGAACCUGUUCUGUAAUUGAUAGUCCACGAUUAUAAAUACUUUAGUUUUUAAUUUACAUAUCGUCGUAGUUUGAAUAUUUUAUUAGAAUUUAAAUAUUCAGAAUUUUAUAUUAAAAAAUAAAUCAGAUCAAGGUGUAGUUUAUAUUAAAGGAGAGAUGGGUUACAUUUAAAUUAUUUUAGGAUAAUUUUUUUAAAAGAAAUUUGAAUUUGGAUUUGAUAGUAAUUUGUUAAAUUUAUUUUAAGUGAUUUAAGCUCUAAAAUAUGUACACAUCGCCCGUCGCUCUUAA
Molecule: ribosomal RNA, 397 nt
Filed under: Bruchidius pygidiopictus
Lineage: Eukaryota; Metazoa; Arthropoda; Insecta; Coleoptera; Chrysomelidae
Description: partial 12S small subunit ribosomal RNA
Source: RNAcentral